UAAAACACAAUGUUAUGAGUGAGCGAGCAGCCUGUGGCAAGAUGGCCGCCAUGUGAGGACGUCGACCUCCAUUAGCCAACAGCGCUGACAAGGUAUCUAGCCUUUAUAUAUGAUGUCUAUGGGCACAAGGACAAAACGAGAGCGUUCGCGUAGUAGACCGCACUUUUUUGGAACAUAGACGACACUUGUAUGAGCGGGAGUUUGUCGGGAAGUGAUGUAAUUAAUUUAAACGGUAUAGUGCCGAGAAAGAUCAGCUAGGUAAGAGAUCGAAAAGUUUUUAAUAAAAAAAUUAUAUAACUAGUUAUAUUAAUAAUAAAUAGUGAACAGUGGAGAUGCUAUUAGAGAAAAAAAUACUUUCUCUCGUUGGUGGAAAACCCAACAAAAAAAGGACCCUGAAGUUAAUCAAGUGGCUGCAAAAAAAACAUCUGCUCCAGGCCAAAAUGAGGUGCAGAAGAUGCCACCAUAGAAUGAAGCUAAUACCAAAUGCAAACAAAGUAGACUACUGUGAAUAGGUCUGCAGAAGGCAAACACACAGAGGAAGAUCAACAACCAAGUUGCCAAGGUCUGGAUCUUUGUUUGAGAGAUCAAAAUGUACCCUAUUCAAUUGGAUGAAAUUCAUCUACAGAUUUGCACAAGGGCUUAGCUUGAGGCAAAUUGAUAUGCUCAGGGAAGGGAUUACUGGAACUUCUCAAACACUCUCCAAGAUGGCAAAAACACUGAGGAGAGUCUAUCGCCACUCAAUGAAGGCAUAUGUCAGAAGAAAGGGCCAAGUCGUUGGACGACACAGGGAAUUUGUCAUGAUUGAUGAAAGCAACUUCCGUCAUAAACGAAAGGUAGGUAACUUUCUACUGUAUAGUAUGAUACCAAAAUUAUGUGAUUAUGAUAACAACAAACUCUGCUUUCUUCAAAGAAUACUCCAUUUGCAUCAAUUACAACCUUGCAGAAAUUUGGGAUGCUAGUUGUCAAUAUGUAUUCUUUAGAGAUUUCACCCCAUGCUUCCUGAAGCACCUCCCACAGGUUGGAUUAGCUUGAUGGACACUUAUAACGUAUCUUACGGUCAAGCAGCUCCUACAGCAGCUCAAUAGGGUUGAGAUCCAUUGACUGUGCAGGCCACUCCAUUAUAGACAGAAUACCAGCUGAGUGCUUCCCUAAAUAAUUUGUGCAUAGUUUAGAACUGUGCUUUGGGUCAUUGUUCUGUUGCAGGAGGAAAUUGUGUCGAAUCAAGCAUCGACCAAAGGCUAUGGCAUGUCAUUGCAAAAUAAUGAUGGACUUCUUUCAAGAUCCCUUCCACGCUGUGCAAAUCUCCCACUUUACCACCACCAAAGCACCACCAGACCAUUACAUUGCUUCCACCGUACUUUACAGAUGGCGUCAAGCACAUUCUUAGUGAUUUGAACACCUCAGACUUAGAUUUGUCUUUCCAUAACACUUUAUUUCCAAUAUUCCUCUGUCCAGUGUUUUUGCUCUUUUGCCCACCUUAAUCUUUUCUUUUUAUUUAUUGUUUUUAUCAAUCGGAGAUAUGGAUUUUUCUUUCCAACUCUGCCUACAAGGCCAGCAUCCAAAGACGCAUCAUCACUGUUGACAUUGAGGCUGGGGUUUUGCAGUAUGGACGAGGAAGGGUUGCACAGACAUGGGCUCGAAGAAAGUGGGUGUUCGGGAUUCUUGGCGUUUCACAAAGAAGAAGGAGGCCCAUUCUGAGACUGGUUAAGCGUAGGUCUAGACGUCACCUGGUACCCUUAAUUGAGCGGCAUGUGUAUCCUGGAAGCCAAAUCAUCAGUGACGAAUGGCGGGCUUACAGAGGCAUACUCACCUUUGUGAACCACAGUCGAUGGUUUGUGGACGCAAGAACAGGAGGCCAUACACAAAAUCUAGAGAGAGCAUGGUCUACUUUCAAAGGGUAUGUAUGGCGGAUGAGAGGGAACAGAACUGAGUCCAUGCUAAAGGAGCACCUCUUCCUAAUUGAGUGGACUUAUUGGCUUGGCAACUGCCACAGAUACGGUCCACUUGGGAGAUUGUUGAAGGACAUUCGGCACAUGUUCCACUUAUAAGGUGUUUCAUUUGUAGAUCAUGCAUGUAAUCCUAGGGAAAUUCUUUAGCUUUGUUAGGUUCUGUUUAUGCUCGGUUUAGAUUUUGCUUUUGUUUUUUACCGUGAUCUGUUUGGUUUUGGUCCUUUGAUUUUGAAUGCAGCUUGUCCUUUUGUAUUAUUAAGUCUGUUUUCUUAAAAUACCUGUUUGUUUAAGCGACCUUUGUGUGUGCCUGUGUCCUGCUACCCCUGUUGCAUUAUGACAACCUUACUAUAAAGAUCUUACAUUUUAUUAAUCUUUAAUUAUAAUCAAACAAAUUAUUAUUGUCUGCAAGUGCAUUUAAGCUAUGAAAACAUAGUUAUGUCUUUACAGUUUACAAGGAUCACAAAGCUACUUAACUAAUAAUUAAUUAUCAGUACUUAAUAGUUUAUAACCAUUUGCAAGCUCUAUUCAACAAUUACUAAACGAAUGAAUAGUCAUGACUUUACAACAAGGAUAACACAUUACCUUAACUAAUUAUUAAUUAUCAGUAUGUUACAGUUCAUAAUCAUCUAAAAGCAUUAAUAAACUAAAGAUAACUAAGAAAUAGAUGAGUUAAGCAUUACAGACACAUUUUUAAUACAAUACAUUUCUACUUAACAGUCAUUAGGAUGAAUAAAUGAGAUCUGCAUUUUUGCACAAAUUACAUUUGGGUAAUAUUACUUUGGAGUUAAUGUAAUGCAUUUCUUUGUGAGAACAUUCAAGCAUGUUUAAAGUAUAUAUAUAUAUCAUAGAUUCUUGAAACAGCAGAAUUAUACAUGUGAUAAUUAAGCAAUACAUUAGGAGUGUAACACAUGAGUUCUUGAACUUCAUGACAUAUCAAGAAGAAAUAAUACACAGGAUUGACAACAGCUAUUAUUGUUCAUGAUGGACACAAGAAAAAGCAAGUAAGUAAGCAACAGGUCACUGAGUAACAAGUAAGGUAAUGUUCACGAAGGACUAAAGCCUGGCUUCUGUGACUGGACAGUAUUCAGCAACAAAUGACAGUAGUUGGGGGAAAGGUGUUGUUUGUUAAAGGAAUUAGGGUUAUUCUAUAUGUUGCCUUCUAAGAAAUGACUUCAUUUGAACUGAUUAUGUUCAAUAAUAAACAUUUAAUUGUUUUCCAUAUGAUGAAAGACACCAAAUCAGUAGUUGCAUUAUGUCAUCAUGAAAUCAUUUAAAUUCAUGUAUGAGUUCAUGUUUGCUAUUGGGCCAUUCAACAGUUAGCUAGAUAUAUUAAUGUUUAUUAACACAUGCACACCAAUGAUAAAUUGCAUCAAUUAAGAUUUG
RNA transcript from Esox lucius (northern pike), 3332 nucleotides. RefSeq lists it as uncharacterized. The record is from RefSeq and is a predicted model, not a curated record. The transcript has 4 exons. Lineage: Eukaryota; Metazoa; Chordata; Actinopteri; Esociformes; Esocidae.